GCGGCAGUAGUGUAGUGGUUAGCACACAGGCCUUCAAAGCCUGCGGGGCAUCUCCAGUGUCCAGGGGUGGGUUCGAAUCCCAUCUGCCGCUCAA
Molecule: transfer RNA, 94 nt
Filed under: Lacihabitans sp. LS3-19
Lineage: Bacteria; Pseudomonadati; Bacteroidota; Cytophagia; Cytophagales; Leadbetterellaceae
Description: tRNA-Sec
Rfam family: tRNA
About the family: Transfer RNA (tRNA) molecules are approximately 80 nucleotides in length. Their secondary structure includes four short double-helical elements and three loops (D, anti-codon, and T loops).
Source: RNAcentral